UUUCCUACGGGAGGCAGCAGUGGGGGAUAUUGCACAAUGGGGGAAACCCUGAUGCAGCGACGCCGCGUGAGCGAUGAAGUAUUUCGGUAUGUAAAGCUCUAUCAGCAGGGAAGAAAAUGACGGUACCUGACUAAGAAGCCCCGGCUAACUACGUGCCAGCAGCCGCGGUAAUACGUAGGUGGCAAGCGUUGUCCGGAAUUACUGGGUGUAAAGGGAGCGCAGGCGGGAAGCCAAGUCAGCUGUGAAAACUACGGGCUUAACUUGUAGACUGCAGUUGAAACUGGUUUUCUUGAGUGAAGUAGAGG
Molecule: ribosomal RNA, 305 nt
Filed under: uncultured bacterium
Lineage: Bacteria
Description: bacterial SSU rRNA
Rfam family: Bacterial small subunit ribosomal RNA
Source: RNAcentral